UCAGGCCUAACACAUGCAAGUCGAACGAGAAAGGGGAGCAAUCCCUGAGUACAGUGGCGUACGGGUGAGUAACACGUGGAUAACCUACCCUCUGGUGGGGAAUAACCCUGGGAAACCGGGGCUAAUACCGCAUAAGUCCGGAAGGAGAAAGGCGCAAGUCGCCGGAGGAGGGGUCCGCGGCCGAUUAGCUUGUUGGUGGGGUAACGGCCUACCAAGGCGAAGAUCGGUAGCCGGCCUGAGAGGGCACACGGCCACACUGGCACUGAAACACGGGCCAGACUCCUACGGGAGGCAGCAGUGGGGAAUCUUGCACGAUGGGGGAAACCCUGAUGCAGCGACGCCGCGUGAGUAAAGGAGCCCUUCGGGGUGUAAAGCUCUUCGACGGGAACGA
RNAcentral lists this ribosomal RNA (391 nucleotides) under uncultured bacterium. RNAcentral's name for it is "bacterial SSU rRNA". It matches the Rfam family "Bacterial small subunit ribosomal RNA", at positions 42 to 448 of the family's 1533-position model. The record is from RNAcentral.